UGGCCAAAAGAGGAGGACAAGCAUGGCAACGACAAAUUUUGCUACACUUACGCGCAGAUUCUACGUGAUGUUUGAUUACGGACUGACGUGAGAUUGAAGGAUUGGGAAAUCACGCUGGUUUGCCCCACCCGGAAAAUCAGGGGGGACGAGAGGUUUGUUAGGAAAAAGGUUGUCCGUAGCCUGCAGCCCGUAACUGGUCCGUAGGUCUAGAAUUUUCGGGCAACGACGCCCCCGCCGUCGUCUCUCCCCGUCCAUAAUAGGUGUGCCGACACCUCUCUCCAUCUCCGUCUGCGCAGGCAUGACGCGGCUGGCACGGUGUUGAGCGGCGCCUAUGCAGCAGCCCUCAAACGGCGGCGGCUCGGCACGGGCGGCGGCGCUGGCGCUCGUGCGGCACAUGGCGCGGCUCUAACAAGGUAGCUGGGCGCGUCGACGCGCGCAUCAUGGCCGGGCCAGCAGGGCAACGACGUACGCGGAGGUCGAGAUUCACCGGGUGUGGUGCGGCAGCAACAGAGGCUCGCCGCUAGGGGCAACGACGUGUGUAGGAUUGUUCUCUCCAGCUGUUCGUUUUCCUCAUGGGACAAUCGAAGUUUGCCGCCCCUUUCUGCUCCGUUCACAUAUAUACAGAUGAAAAAAAAACCAUUCAGGUUCUGCAUCCACCCAUCAGGUACCUUUCUUAUUGACCCUUCAAGCGUGGAGUCUUUUCGAGGCAGCCUUCGUGUUUUCCCCGUCCACUGGAACUCCAUGCAGAGUCUGAGUUCAGGGGAGUGUAUUGGCCUUCAAAACAAGAAUAAAUGUUUGGUCGUUCAUCUUUCUUAUGUUCCUAGGUCAGUUUCAUGGAAUCCCAUGCUAUUUAUUAUGUAAAUUGCGUCCAAGAUAUUUCCUCGUAGGGUCAUGAAGCUUGUGGGCACUUUUUAUCCGUGUCUAGGUUUUUGUUGUUUGGGGUGUGCCGGUUUUAUUGCUCAGAUGAAACAGAUACGGUGUGCUCUUAGCCUCUUACAGAGUUGAGAUGAAUCUCCUUUGAGUUGCAGGCCAGAAGGUAGUGAAAAUUAAUAUUCUUAAAAGUCUCCACUUUGGAGCAGAAAAAUGUUGUUAGCGCAACAUGCAGUAUGAUCCAGGUCAAUAGGUGAACUUAUAAGUCAAAACACACAC
This is a long non-coding RNA of Triticum aestivum (bread wheat), 1149 nucleotides long. RefSeq lists it as uncharacterized. The transcript is spliced from 3 exons. The record is from RefSeq and is a predicted model, not a curated record. NCBI's taxonomy places the organism in Eukaryota, Viridiplantae, Streptophyta, Magnoliopsida, Poales, Poaceae.